Styela clava is the source of this 209-nucleotide non-coding RNA. The record is from RefSeq and is a predicted model, not a curated record. NCBI's taxonomy places the organism in Eukaryota, Metazoa, Chordata, Ascidiacea, Stolidobranchia, Styelidae.
AUAAAAUUUGCAAGGGAACAACUGUUCUGUGAUCAAUUACCGUAUAUGGCCUACAGUGUACAGUUCUACUGAAAACAACGUAAAAUUUGCAAGGGAAGAACUGUUCUGUGAUCAAUUAUAUGGCCUACAGUGUACAGUUCUACUGAAAACAACGUAAAAUUUGCAAGGGAAGAACUGUUCUGUGAUCAAUUAUAUGGCCUACAGUGUAC